AAGUCGAGGGGAAACGAUAUUGGAAGCUUGCUUCCGAUGGGCGUCGACCGGCGCACGGGUGAGUAACGCGUAUCCAACCUGCCCAUCACUUGGGGAUAACCUUGCGAAAGUAAGACUAAUACCCCAUGGUCUCCACGGAUGGCAUCUGAAAUGGAGUAAAGGUUUCGGCCGGUUGCGGAUGGGGAUGCGUCUGAUUAGCUUGUUGGCGGGGUAACGGCCCACCAAGGCAACGAUCAGUAGGGGUUCUGAGAGGAAGGUCCCCACAUUGGAACUGAGACACGGUCCAAACUCC
Molecule: ribosomal RNA, 292 nt
Filed under: uncultured Prevotella sp.
Lineage: Bacteria; Pseudomonadati; Bacteroidota; Bacteroidia; Bacteroidales; Prevotellaceae
Description: partial 16S ribosomal RNA
Rfam family: Bacterial small subunit ribosomal RNA
Source: RNAcentral